RNAcentral lists this ribosomal RNA (442 nucleotides) under uncultured bacterium. Its description in RNAcentral is "partial 16S ribosomal RNA". It matches the Rfam family "Bacterial small subunit ribosomal RNA", at positions 338 to 795 of the family's 1533-position model. The record is from RNAcentral.
CCUACGGGUGGCAGCAGUGGGGAAUAUUGGGCAAUGGGCGCAAGCCUGACCCAGCAACGCCGCGUGAAGGAAGAAGGCAUUCGGGUUGUAAACUUCUUUUAAGGGGGGAGAGCAGAAGACGGUACCCCUUGAAUAAGCCACGGCUAACGACGUGCCAGCAGCCGUGGUAAUACGUAGGUGGCAAGCGUUGUCCGGAUUUACUGGGUGUAAAGGGCGUGCAGCCGGAGAGACAAGUCAGGUGGGAAAUCCACGGGCUCAACCCGUGAACUGCAUUUGAAACUGUUUCCCUUGAGUGUCAGAGAGGUAAUCGGAAUGCCUGGUGUAGCGGUGAAAUGCGUAGAUAUAAGGAAGAACACCAGUGGCGAAGGCGGAUUACUGGACGCUAACUGACGGUGAGGCGCGAAAGCGUGGGGAGCAAACAGGAUUAGAUACCCUAGUAGUC